AGAGAAAUAUUACCUUCCAAACACUGAGUGCUUCCUGUCGAGGUAGGUGCACGACCUGAAUGUGAUGAAGCUGAGAGGAAGCAGAACACACAGUUAACAAAAACAGUACAACACCGUGACUAUCAGUGACGCCAAGGAUCAGGACGUGAGCAGAGCUGUAGACACUAGACAGCCGUCAUGGCAGCAAUGGUCAUCAUCAGACUCACCUCAUCUUGGUCCAGUACAUGCUGGACCUAAGUCCUCCACUCCAUAAGCAAAGUCAACAUGAACUAAGCAAGACAAUAAAAACCUCUUGACUA
Molecule: long non-coding RNA, 299 nt
Organism: Labrus mixtus (cuckoo wrasse)
Lineage: Eukaryota; Metazoa; Chordata; Actinopteri; Labriformes; Labridae
Exons: 2
Source: RefSeq, a predicted model, not a curated record